This 410-nucleotide long non-coding RNA is filed under the name Lathyrus oleraceus (garden pea). Its description in RNAcentral is "Pisum sativum (pea) long non-coding RNA (PSAT_LNC032442)". The record is from RNAcentral. Lineage: Eukaryota; Viridiplantae; Streptophyta; Magnoliopsida; Fabales; Fabaceae.
UGUUGAACAUUGUUAGACUGCUGAUUUUGUUGAAGGCUAGAUAGAAUCGAUUGCAUCGUCGAAGGCUGCAUAGCAGAUGACGUUUGCAUAACUGAUUGUUGAGAGGUAUUCAACUGGUUUGGUUGCAGAAGGUUCUGCUGUUGAGCAUCGUCGAAGGCUGCAUAGCAGAUGACGUUUGCAUAACUGAUUGUUGAGAGGUAUUCAACUGGUUUGGUUGCAGAAGGUUCUGCUGUUGUUGUUGCUGCAUCUGAGAUAGCAUAUGCUUCAUAACUUGUUGCUGCUGCUGGUAAAGAAUCUGUUGAUUCUGUGGUUGUUGCUGUUGCUGUGGGGGAACAACUUGCUGCCAACCUGGCAUAUGUCUUUGAGAACCAGGAAACAUACACUGUAUAUUGGAAUUCUGGCCAAUAGAA